CCCCACGGCCACCGACCAGCCCAGCCCGAGGCGACGACGGGAUCGAGGGAGCUGGGAGAAAGGAGGCGUUGCGCGGACGCCCAAAAGGAAAAGCUUUUUGCAUCCGGGUCACCGAGCGGUGCCAGUAAGGACGAAUCCAGCCGCCCAAAGCGGCAGGUGAACAGAGCCCCAAAACUGCACUGCACCGGCGGCGGCCACGAGCGCACCAAAACCCCGCCCGCUCCCGCGUCCCGUCGCCGAGAAGAAUCCUUGCCUUCGCGAAGCCUCUCCAGCAGCCUCCUCGUCGCCGCCCGCGCCUGGAGCAGCAAUGCAGCUAUACCACCACCCAUAUUCCCUGGACAGCCAGAAAGUGCGGAUGGCACUGGAAGAGAAGGGCAUCGACUACACAUCCUACCACAUCAACCCACUCACGGGCAAGAACAUGAAUGUGGACUUCUUCCGCAUGAACCCCUCCGCGAAGCUCCCUGUCUUCCAGAACGGUGCUCAUGUCAUCUAUCGUGCCAUCGACAUCAUUCAGUACUUAGACAGACUUGCGGUGCAUUUAAGUGGUGAGAUCCCCCCUGUGAAUACUGAGGUUCACCAAUGGAUGCAGAAAGUUGAUGCUUGGAAUCCUAAGAUGUUCACCCUCACACACACCCCGGUCAAGUACCGUGCGUUUGUCUCCAAGUUUAUAAGGCGGGUGUUGAUUGCUCGCAUGGCUGAAGCCCCUGAUCUAGCUAGCAUGUACCAUGUCAAGCUCCGCGAGGCUUACGAGACCGAGGACAAAGUAAAGGACCCUGACAUCAUGAAGCAAAGUGAGGAAGAAUUGAGCAAACUCCUUGAUGAUGUUGAAGCUCAGCUCAGCAAGACCAAAUAUCUUGCUGGCGAUGAAUUCUCACCUGCUGAUUCGAUGUUCGUCCCUAUUCUUGCGCGCAUAACUCUUCUGGACCUUGAUGAGGAGUAUAUCAGCUGUAGACCCAAGAUACUUGACUACUAUAAUUUGGUGAAGCAUCGGUCAAGCUACAAGAUUGCCAUUGGCAAGUACUUCAAUGGGUGGAAGAAGUACCGGACUCUCUUCAAGACGUCUUUCUUCCUUUGCGUUCGAACCCUGUUCAGGAGGCCUUAAUACUGGUUGGCUUUUUAGAUAUGGCCAUAUGAGUUAAGCAUGAGGUUUCCUGCACAUGCUCUACAUUUACAAUGCAGGACUGGGCCUGACAACAACACUGCUAGCUCCAAUUAUGCACCAUGGGACAGAUUCAAAAUGUUCUGAAGUCGCAUACUAUCCCCAAAACCUGAACUCUACCAAGGCCACAGCUUAACUGCAUAAGGGCUUAAUACUGCUUGUGGUUGGUCCUUUAAGAUAGACACAUGGAUAUACAGCAUGCAGAAGAUCUCCUGCACGUGCCAUUUAAAAUUCGGGACAGUAGUGGCCUGGCCAUCACAUGCCCCCUUCUCUAUUGGCAGAAUGGCAGGUGGUGGGAUUUGCGGCACUAUGCCCCACCCGGCAUCUGCAGGGCUUCAGGACCUUGCUCAACUUGGUGGAAAACUUGGUGCCAUGCCAUGACGGUUGACGGGGAUGAUCUCUCUGACUGGUACCUGAUGGAUGAUAUGAUGCUCAUGUUGAGAAUUGUGCUGGAACCCAGGGCAAAAUGACAGACACUACUGCCCCCUCCGUGUAAUGUUUAACUCAAGCAUUCCAUGAGCGUGUGUUGAAGCCUCUCUGGACUCUGUUUUUUUCUGUCUAGAGUAUAGCCUUGAUGACCUGCGUGUCAUGAGUACUUUGGCAAGCUUUGGCUUGCUCAAAAUAUGGUGAACCUGUUGGUCCUGAAUGCAUUGCUAACGAACCAAGGCUUUUCCUGGAACUCCAAAAAAUCUCUCUACAUGCAUGACCAGGAAAUGUCAGUGGGUUUUGGUCUUCCAAGUUAAAUGGAUUGUAUUUGUGUCUUCGUAGCUUAUUAGUUUGUGACAGUUAAACCAUUUGUACCUAAAUUUUUCUGUUUUCAAGAAAGAGCAGAGAUCUUUGUGGACCGUACUAA
Molecule: RNA transcript, 2015 nt
Organism: Setaria italica (foxtail millet)
Lineage: Eukaryota; Viridiplantae; Streptophyta; Magnoliopsida; Poales; Poaceae
Gene name: glutathione S-transferase TCHQD
Exons: 7
Source: RefSeq, a predicted model, not a curated record